ACUUAAGUAGUUUAAAUAAAAUAUCGAUUUGUGAUAUCGGUGAUAUAAUUGUUUAUCUUAGGUC
RNAcentral lists this transfer RNA (64 nucleotides) under Episymploce cheni. Its description in RNAcentral is "tRNA-His". Lineage: Eukaryota; Metazoa; Arthropoda; Insecta; Blattodea; Blattellidae. The record is from RNAcentral.